This 252-nucleotide ribosomal RNA is filed under the name uncultured bacterium. RNAcentral describes it as "partial 16S ribosomal RNA". It matches the Rfam family "Bacterial small subunit ribosomal RNA", at positions 524 to 776 of the family's 1533-position model. The record is from RNAcentral.
UACGUAGGUCCCGAGCGUUGUCCGGAUUUAUUGGGCGUAAAGCGAGCGCAGGUGGUUUAUUAAGUCUGAUGUAAAAGGCAGUGGCUCAACCAUUGUAUGCAUUGGAAACUGGUAGACUUGAGUGCAGGAGAGGAAAGUGGAAUUCCAUGUGUAGCGGUGAAAUGCGUAGAUAUAUGGAGGAACACCGGUGGCGAAAGCGGCUCUCUGGCCUGUAACUGACACUGAGGCUCGAAAGCGUGGGGAGCAAACAGG